This 448-nucleotide ribosomal RNA is filed under the name uncultured bacterium. RNAcentral's name for it is "partial 16S ribosomal RNA". It matches the Rfam family "Bacterial small subunit ribosomal RNA", at positions 328 to 792 of the family's 1533-position model. The record is from RNAcentral.
GUGCCAGACUCCUACGGGAGGCAGCAGUGGGGGAUAUUGCACAAUGGGGGAAACCCUGAUGCAGCGACGCCGCGUGUGGGAAGACGGUCCUCUGGCUUGUAAACCACUGUCCCCAGGGACGAAGAUGACGGUACCUGGGGAGGAAGCUCCGGCUAACUACGUGCCAGCAGCCGCGGUAAUACGUAGGGAGCAAGCGUUGUCCGGAAUUACUGGGUGUAAAGGGAGCGCAGGCGGCCUUGCAAGUCUGAUGGGAAAGGCCGGGGCCCAACCCCGGGACUGCAUUGGAAACUGCGAGGCUGGAGUGUCGGAGAGGCAGGCGGAAUUCCUGGUGUAGCGGUGAAAUGCGUAGAUAUCAGGAGGAACACCGGUGGCGAAGGCGGCCUGCUGGACUGCAACUGACGUUGAGGCCCGAAAGCGUGGGGAGCAAACAGGAUUAGAUACCCCCGUA